UUUAAGAACUGGUUAAACGAUAAGAAUUUCAGAUCUGAUCUCAGGCUGGAGAGACUUGUUUCUGGACAGAGUCAAGGAGUGAAGGAGUGAAGUGAGCCCCACCCUCAGUGAGAGAGCACUGUGCUACAUGGAUACCAGAAAUAUUAUAUCAUUGGAGAUAUCAAUAUACAUGAUAAGUAACUAAGAGGAAAUAUGACACUAAAGUAUUUUAAACGAAGAAAUGACAUGCUUGUAUAUGCAUUUUAGGAAGAUCUAUCUGGCCUCUGUAGAAGACACUUUGGAGGAUACUAAAAGUAGAGACAGUCAAAGCAGCUAAGAAGGUAAGAGUCUUAAAGAAAUGAUUUUAAGUCAGGCAGUAGCUGUCACAGAAGACAUAGAGAUAAAGAAGUUUGAGUAGAAUAUACAAAUUUUGCACAAUACGUUUAUCUGCAAACAGUUAUAAAGGCAGUGGUGAGGGAAAGAAGGAAGCUCAAGAUGUCUGUCUUAACUGACUUGGCUAAGGAUAGCCUUAUCCAAAAAAAAAAAAAUUCAUAGGAAGCAAGAAGCAAAAGAGUUAUGGCAGGAAAACAACAGGUCAAGCUUGGACAUGAGUAGCCUGAGAGGAAGAUGUCCUGUAGGUGUUUGCAGUUGGAGAGAAUUUUAAUCUGGAGAUAGGAUUUAAGAGUGACUGGACACAGACAGCGGAAGUCUGGAGACUCAGAAAGGUAAGAGAGUUAAAGGAGGUGUAGGAUGAGAAAUUACCCAAUGGGUAAAAUGCACACUAUUCAGAUGAUGGUUAUACUGAAAGCCCAGACUGCACUCCCAUGUAACAAAACUGUAUUUGUACUUCCUAAAUCUAUAAGAAGUAUUUUUUUAAUUUGCACAGAUAUUGUUUUAAAAAAAAGAGUGACUGGCAUUUAUAUAAUAGUGAAUGCUGUAACUGUGAUGGUGACUACUCAGAGAAAGACUAAAAUGUAUAUUGAAAACAGUAGAAGCUGAAAUUUGUUAUUAGAAUAUAUUUUGGGAUCACUUUGAGAAUCAGAAGCAAGCCAUGGACUCACUCCUAGAAACAUGCGUGGGCACAUGUGAAACCAUUUUCAGACACAAUUUCAGAGAGCCUGUGCCUUCCAUAAAGUCUCUCCAAUAGACCCUUUAAGGAUUGGAGAGAUUAGAAAACCCUGAUUCAAAGGAUAAACGAGAGAAAAAUAACAAAUCAAAGAUAGGAAAAGGAAGUGAAGCGUGGAUAGAGACAAAAUCUGAAGGCCAGGGUCCUGAGCUAGAGCUCACUAGGUGCUAAAGUCCUACUUAAAGUUGAAACGUUUAGAAUAGACCUUCAGUACCAAAACAGUGUUGAGGGCAAAGACCUGGAGACAAAAGAAAAGAGACAGUGAAAGACAAACAGUAGUCCCCAAUUAUCUGCAGGGGAUAUGAUCCAAGACCUUGAGUAGGUGCCUGAAACAUAGUACAUAUAACCCUGAACCCUAUAUAUACUGUUGUUUCUAUCCAUUCAUACCUAUGAUAAAGUUUAAUUUAUAAAUUAAGCACAGUAAUAACAUAUUAACAAUAACUAAUAAAAUGGAGCAACGAUAACAACAUACUUUAAUAAAAACUCUUUCAAAAUAUCUUAAUAUUCUCAGACCCUGAUUGCCCAUAGGAACUGAAACUGCAGAAAGUGAAACUAUGGAUGAAGGCGGACACCUGUAUGACUUUCAGCCAGCAACCGUGUCUCAGGCCAUCGCAGGCAUGCAGGCUCUCAUCUCGCCUCACUGGAAUGUGGGUGUGAGUGACUUUACCGCCUCAUUUCUCAGCACAGGUUCAGGACCCAGAUGUGAAACCAACCCGCAGAAGCCACAUGUCAGUAACUGUGGGUCCCUUUAGGGGAAGGCAGAAGCUAGGAGCAGGGAUUUGGUGAAGGUUUUGCAAAAUCAUCAUCAACAGUCAAAAUUACCAGGGAAUCCUGUGAAAUGCUGAAAGUGUGACAGAGAAGCUGGCAAAACUUAUUAUAUUAGUACCCAAAGAGUAAUGCAAUCUCCUACUUUCUUAGAGGGCUUCUUGUUCACUAGCACUAGUACUCAGUGCCUCGAAUAGUAUCUGGCAAACAAUUACAAUAAAUACAUGUCACAGGAAUGAAUAAAAGCAACUCUGUGAAGCACCCAAGAAUUUCUUCUCUUCAGGCUUAUAAAUAAUAUCCUGCUCUAAAACAUGUCAGCUGCUCCAGUGAUCAGCCUUGGGCCUUUCUAAGAAAAUACUGAGUCUUUAUUUCUAAUUAAUUCAUUUUAUUAUUUUUAGUUCACCCCAAAUGUGAGACAUUUGGAAAACUCAGAUAUAAUGUAAAGUAUUUUAUUAUCAUUUUCUAGUUCUCUCUGGCGCCAGGCAAAUUUGGCUAUAAACAAAAGCUAAUAAACCCUGAUUUAAGGGCCAUAAUGCCUCUAGUGUGUGUACUAGGAGUACAACAAGAUGAUGCAAUACCACAAGGCCCUGUUUUAGUUAAAAGUCACAUUAAUGACUUCAUCCUUCAUAGUUGCCCAAAGAACCCUGAGAAAGAAACCUUCAACUCUUACAUCGUUUUCUGUCUUAAGGGUAAUGAACCAUAUGUGUAGACAGCUGCACUGUCUGUAAACUAUGGUCAUUAAUUACACAGGAGACAGGACACUUCCAGGGAGAGGCGGGUGGAAAAAGAAGGGUGAGACUUUGAAAAGUCAUGGCGAUUAUUAAUAACAGAAAGGGCAACGAAAAGGGUAAGAUGCCUGUCCUCCAUAUUUCAAAUACAUUACAUUGCCCAUAGCAAUGAAGUAGCAGAAAGGUCUGGAUAGGAUGGAGAAUGUUUUCGACCUGCAUCUGAGGCCAGAGUUAAACAAAACAGGGUACCACAGGCAAGGAUACAUGUAGAUUCACAUACAGAAUUUCAAAGACUAUGCCAAGUUGGUGAACCAUUUUCCUAAGGAAUAAGAAGUCAACUUAGUCUAAAGGAGAUACUGAAUUACAGUACAGAAUGUAAACCAAAGAACACAAGGAGAGAACAUCAGAUUUGAGCUUUCCCCCGAGUUUCAGGUAUGAAUCUCUAAGAUAUCAGAUGCUUAGAUAAUUCAGGCUAAAAUUAUGGGACAAGAGUCCAAGCUGGGUUACAGCAAGCAAGAAUAAAGGCUAUGACUAACACAGAUUUUCACAGCUUAAAGGCCAGAUCCAGCUAGAGAGGUGGCUCCAGCCCAUAGAGGCAUGGUGUGCCUCCUGAUAUCCUUCCUCACUUUACGGGCCACAUGUGGGACACAUCUCUAAAAACAUAAAUGUAGAUACAGAGAAUACAAGAAACAAAUGUAAGCACUUCCAUUUCUUAAACUUUUUGCAAUCAUCAUAAAUUAUUCACUAUACUAAGGCCAACAAAGGCCAGUGUCUGUACCAGCACAUACGUACCCAUAGACAGGAACUCUACUCAACACUGUAUUUUCAGUACCUCACAUACUGGCCAAAACAGGCUCAAUGGGAAUUUCUUAAAUAAAUUAAGUCAUAUAUUUAUUGAAAAAUGGGAGUAACCUCUCUACAAAAGAAUCCAGAAACGUACUGAACAGAGAACAACAAACUGAAAAGUCUGACUGAUAAAAGCAUGAUCUUUGUUUCUGCUGUGUGAAAUGGUGAUCACAACUAAGUGUAAGUAUAAAGAAAAUCUGGGAUUGAAAGGCCAGAUAUAUUGACAAAAGGGAAGGAGAGUUAAAGAACCAUUGAAGAGUUAUGUACAGUAGAGUGAUAUGAUCAAGUUGACAUAUGAUAAAGUCCCUCUGGAAGUUAAAUGGCAAGUGGGUUAGUGGGUAGAGUAAAUUACAGUGGAAAGACCAGGAAGACACUGUUCUUUUCAUCUAGACAGAAUAUAACAAGCACAUGAAUUAGGACUGUGAAAAUAGAGGGGAUGGGACAGAUAUUAAUAGGGUAGUACUGAUGUGACUUUGUGACUCUUGGAUAUUAGGAAGGAAAAAAAGAAAAAAAAAUCUGGGAUUGCCUCCAAAGCACUAACUUCAGAGCUACAAAAGUUAUUACAUUAUCAAUAAAUCUUUCAUGGAUUAAUAAAUACAACAUGUGUAAUCUUUAAAUUCUUAUUAUUUAUAAAAA
RNAcentral lists this long non-coding RNA (4080 nucleotides) under Homo sapiens (human). Its description in RNAcentral is "HSALNT0179031". Lineage: Eukaryota; Metazoa; Chordata; Mammalia; Primates; Hominidae. The record is from RNAcentral.